This 254-nucleotide ribosomal RNA is filed under the name uncultured prokaryote. RNAcentral describes it as "partial 16S ribosomal RNA". It matches the Rfam family "Bacterial small subunit ribosomal RNA", at positions 525 to 777 of the family's 1533-position model. The record is from RNAcentral.
ACGUAGGAGACAAACGUUAUCCGGAGUUACUGGGCGUAAAGGGCGCGUAGGCGGCCACUGCAAGUCAGUUGUGAAAUCUCCGGGCUUAACUCGGAACGGUCAAUUGAUACUGCAGGGCUAGAGUGCAGAAGGGGCAACUGGAAUUCUCGGUGUAGCGGUGAAAUGCGUAGAUAUCGAGAGGAACACCUGCGGCGAAGGCGGGUUGCUGGGCUGACACUGACGCUGCAGCGCGAAAGCCAGGGGAGCGAACGGGA